CAGGCCUAACACAUGCAAGUCGAGCGGGCGUAGCAAUACGUCAGCGGCAGACGGGUGAGUAACGCGUGGGAACAUACCUCUUGGUUCGGAACAACACAGGGAAACUUGUGCUAAUACCGGAUAAGCCCUUACGGGGAAAGAUUUAUCGCCGAGAGAUUGGCCCGCGUCUGAUUAGCUAGUUGGUGAGGUAACGGCCCACCAAGGCGACGAUCAGUAGCUGGUCUGAGAGGAUGAUCAGCCACAUUGGGACUGAGACACGGCCCAAACUCCUACGGGAGGCAGCAGUGGGGAAUAUUGGACAAUGGGCGCAAGCCUGAUCCAGCCAUGCCGCGUGAGUGAUGAAGGCCCUAGGGUUGUAAAGCUCUUUUGUGCGGGAAGAUAAUGACGGUACCGCAAGAAUAAGCCCCGGCUAACUUCGUGCCAGCAGCCGCGGUAAUACA
RNAcentral lists this ribosomal RNA (440 nucleotides) under uncultured Alphaproteobacteria bacterium. Its description in RNAcentral is "bacterial SSU rRNA". It matches the Rfam family "Bacterial small subunit ribosomal RNA", at positions 43 to 527 of the family's 1533-position model. Lineage: Bacteria; Pseudomonadati; Pseudomonadota; Alphaproteobacteria. The record is from RNAcentral.